GACGAACGCUGGCGGCGUGCUUAACACAUGCAAUUCGAACGGAAAGGCCCUGCUUUUGUGGGUUGCUCGAGUGGCGAACGGGUGAGUAACACGUGAUUAACCUGCCCUUGACUUUGGGAUAACUUCAGGAAACUGGGGCUAAUACCGGAUAGGAGCUCCUGCUGCAUGGUGGGGGUUGGAAAGUUUCGGCGGUUGGGGAUGGACUCGCGGCUUAUCAGCUUGUUGGUGGGGUAGUGGCUUACCAAGGCUUUGACGGGUAGCCGGCCUGAGAGGGUGACCGGCCACAUUGGGACUGAGAUACGGCCCAGACUCCUACGGGAGGCAGCAGUGGGGAAUAUUGCACAAUGGGCGGAAGCCUGAUGCAGCAACGCCGCGUGCGGGAUGACGGCCUUCGGGUUGUAAACCGCUUUCGCCUGUGACGAAGCGUGAGUGACGGUAAUGGGUAAAGAAGCACCGGCUAACUACGUG
RNAcentral lists this ribosomal RNA (468 nucleotides) under uncultured bacterium. Its description in RNAcentral is "partial 16S ribosomal RNA". It matches the Rfam family "Bacterial small subunit ribosomal RNA", at positions 28 to 507 of the family's 1533-position model. The record is from RNAcentral.